GCCUGGGUGGCUCAAUCGGUUGAGCGUCUGACUUCGGCUCAGGUCAUGAUCUCACAGUUUGUGGGUUCGAGCCCCGCGUCGGGCU
Molecule: transfer RNA, 85 nt
Filed under: Felis catus (domestic cat)
Lineage: Eukaryota; Metazoa; Chordata; Mammalia; Carnivora; Felidae
Rfam family: tRNA
About the family: Transfer RNA (tRNA) molecules are approximately 80 nucleotides in length. Their secondary structure includes four short double-helical elements and three loops (D, anti-codon, and T loops).
Source: Rfam by way of RNAcentral